ACACGGGGGGCGCAAGCGUUAUUCGGAAUUAUUGGGCGUAAAGGGCGUGUAGGCGGUCUCAUCGGUCAGAUGUGAAAGCCCAGGGCUCAACCCUGGACGUGCAUUUGAAACAGUAAGACUUGAGUACUGGAGAGGAAAGCGGAAUUCCUGGUGUAGAGGUGAAAUUCGUAGAUAUCAGGAGGAACACCGAUGGCGAAGGCAGCUUUCUGGACAGAAACUGACGCUGAUGCGCGAAGGCGUGGGUAGCGAACAGGAUUAGAAACCCGGGUAGUCC
RNAcentral lists this ribosomal RNA (274 nucleotides) under uncultured bacterium. RNAcentral's name for it is "partial 16S ribosomal RNA". It matches the Rfam family "Bacterial small subunit ribosomal RNA", at positions 523 to 796 of the family's 1533-position model. The record is from RNAcentral.